UACAGAGGGUGCGAGCGUUAAUCGGAAUUACUGGGCGUAAAGCGUGCGUAGACGGCUAUCUAAGUCGGGUGUGAAAGCCCCGGGCUCAACCUGGGAAUUGCAUUCGAGACUGAAUAGCUAGGGUGCGGUAGAGGGAAGCGGAAUUUCCGGUGUAGCGGUGAAAUGCGUAGAUAUCGGAAGGAACAUCAGUGGCGAAAGCGGCUUCCUGGACCAGCACCGACGUCAGGCACGAAAGCCGUGGGGAGCAAACAGGA
RNAcentral lists this ribosomal RNA (254 nucleotides) under uncultured bacterium. RNAcentral describes it as "partial 16S ribosomal RNA". It matches the Rfam family "Bacterial small subunit ribosomal RNA", at positions 524 to 777 of the family's 1533-position model. The record is from RNAcentral.